This is a long non-coding RNA of Mercurialis annua (annual mercury), 915 nucleotides long. RefSeq lists it as uncharacterized. Lineage: Eukaryota; Viridiplantae; Streptophyta; Magnoliopsida; Malpighiales; Euphorbiaceae. The record is from RefSeq and is a predicted model, not a curated record. The transcript is spliced from 3 exons.
UAAUUCAAAAAUUCCGUCUAUAUCCUUGGUUCUUAUCUGUUUUCUUUUCCUUUCUCCUCCAUACUUUGUUACUGUGUGCUUUGCCUCUGGUUUAUUGUAAGAUUUAAUUCCUCCCCUAUUUUCAAUCUUUGGCUUGAUCUUCUUUGUUUUCCCUGGUUUAUCACCGACUCUCUCAUCACCUCUAUUUUUUCUCGCUACUUCUUCUUUCUAUCACUGUUUCGUGCACCUGAUAUUCACGUCUAAACCCUAUUUUGCUCGAAUAUGACGAUGUUUAGAGUGACUUGCCAGCUGAUCAUAAAUGUCAAUCGACCCCCUUAAGGACUAUCAGUUUUUAAUUUGUGGGCAGAAGGAACUGAAGCUUUGUGAAAUAAAAUGCAGGAGUAUAAGAAAUAGACACUUUAGCAAUGUGAAUUUGAUAUUACUUUCCUGCUAUUUCCAUUAUGAUUUUCAUUCUGGCUGGUCCGUGCUAUUCCACUUGAUGUAUUUAUGUUGCGAUAUUGCAUUGCUAGAGUUCGCAUAAUAAUUAAUAAUAAAUCAAUGAAAUGUGACCUAAGAAUCGUAAAAUGAGCUUUCGAAAGUUAUUAUGCAAGAUUUUUUUGGCCUUUUCAUUCAGAUCUCGAGAAAUAAAUGGUGAGUACACAUAGGUCUGUCUAAUAACGAGAAUCAUGUAGAUGGAUGCUUUGACUAAUGCUGCAAUCCUUGGACAUGAAGGUGAUCCAGGCACCACUCAAUUAAGUAUCUGUCAUAGUUCACAUAAAUAGGUAAGUUUAAUCACCAUGCAUAAUGCAUACUUAUUCUAUUUUUCAAUGUAGGUAGUGGAAACUCAUGAAAGUUUCUUGAAAAUAAUUUCAAACUUAAUUCCUAUUACAGAUUGCCUUAACAUGUUUAUUUUCAGAAAAAUGUAUUCUCUGUAAU